RNAcentral lists this transfer RNA (90 nucleotides) under Pseudomonadales bacterium. Its description in RNAcentral is "tRNA-Ser". It matches the Rfam family "tRNA". Rfam says of the family: Transfer RNA (tRNA) molecules are approximately 80 nucleotides in length. Their secondary structure includes four short double-helical elements and three loops (D, anti-codon, and T loops). RNAcentral also lists the same sequence under 1 other name. The record is from RNAcentral. Lineage: Bacteria; Pseudomonadati; Pseudomonadota; Gammaproteobacteria; Pseudomonadales.
GGAGAGGUGGCUGAGUGGUUUAAAGCACCGGUCUUGAAAACCGACGAGGGUGAAAGCCCUCCGUGGGUUCGAAUCCCACCCUCUCCACCA